AGCACAAAUCAACCAGAAGUAAAUACUGAGCAAACUAAUAUAACGAAUAAAGAUUUGGUAUUAAAUAUGAGCAACAAAAAAGAAAAUAUGUUCGAUAAUGAUAUUAAUAAACUAGUUGAGUAUCUGAAAAAAAAAUUUAUAGAAGAAGUUAGUGAGUAUUAUCAUAAUAUCAAUAAUCUGGGUCAUCUAUAUUUUUCACAUGUUAAUAGCAACAUUUUAAAUUAUUAUAUGGUUUACUCUGUACUAUUUUUUAAUUAUACUAAAAAAAAGUAUCUACACUUUAAAACUAAUAUUCAAGCAGAAUUUUUUACAUGUCAAAAUGAUAAACAACAAACAAAUUGUGUUAAAACAUUCACUAAGCAAUUUGAUCUUAUGUCCGAUAAAGACCGAGAAGAUAAGCAUUAUAACACCUUACGUAAGCUAUCGGAUAUAUAUACAGAAAAUUAUGAUAUCAGUGACACAAAUUUCAAAUCAGGUUACGUCGCACACUUUAUAUAUUAUAAAAAUUGGAAUGACACCGACAAAAAUGUUGAGUUCGAACUAAAAUCUUUUAUAUGUGCAGGUAAAAUCGAUAAUCAAAUAUGGGAAAUGGAAUACCCGCUUCUAAUUGAUUUAGAUCCGUAUUACAGAUUGUGUAAAAAUCUUGAACUUAUGCAAAUUCCCAUAAAAAAUGUUAAAUCUUCCACACAGUGUAUGAAUAAAUUUUCAAAAGAAUAUGUACAAAGUUCAUUUAAAGCAAUAGUUAAUUUUCUCAAAUCUAAAUAUUUCCUAUUUAAUAAUUAUUAUCUAAGAAAUUUUUUUGCAUUACCCAUUUUUGAAGAUUUUUAUAUUAAAUUAAAAAUAAUAAAACAUAAGUGUACAGAUGUAUUUUACCAUAUCUACAACUAUUUAAAAAAUUACGGAAAACAUAAAAAAGUUGAAGAAUUUUUAAACACCUGUAUAGGAUCGAAUUGUGAUUUAGUAAACAAAUACAACGAAACGAAUGUUUCAAAAACAACUAAUGGACAAGAAGAAAACCUAAAUAAUAAAAACACAACUCAUGUAAAUUUAAUGCAAAAACAUAAACCAAGUGAACUAAAUGAAGAUGAUAAAAAUUGUAAAUAAACUUUUAUUAAAUGAACAUCCUUAUUUAUAGAAGAUCACACCCAAUUAAAACCCAACUAUAACAAAAGUACCAUUAUAAUAGAAUUCUCUUAUACAAUUUUUAAUUUUAUGUAUAGUUUAUUUUCAUAUAUGCGUUCAAUUUUUAAAUUUUAAUAAUUAUUUUUAAGUUAUUUUUAAAAAUACAAUUAUAGUUUGUCCCCUUAUUGGUGCAUACAUAUAAUAUUAUAAAUAUAUAUACAUCUUUAUUAUAAUCGAAUGCAAUUAAUAAUACAUAGUUUAUUAAAUUCAUAACAGAAUUUAAUAUUGGUAUUUAUCAUUU
This 1423-nucleotide long non-coding RNA is filed under the name Piliocolobus tephrosceles (Ugandan red Colobus). RNAcentral describes it as "lncRNA (ENSPTEG00000003221.1)". The record is from RNAcentral. Lineage: Eukaryota; Metazoa; Chordata; Mammalia; Primates; Cercopithecidae.